UGCUGGAGGUAUCAGAAGUGCGAAUGCUGACAUAAGUAACGAUAAAGCGGGUGAAAAGCCCGCUCGCCGGAAGACCAAGGGUUCCUGUCCAACGUUAAUCGGGGCAGGGUGAGUCGACCCCUAAGGCGAGGCCGAAAGGCGUAGUCGAUGGGAAACAGGUUAAUAUUCCUGUACUUGGUGUUACUGCGAAGGGGGGACGGAGAAGGCUAUGUUAGCCGGGCGACGGUUGUCCCGGUUUAAGCAUGUAGGCUGAUUGUCCAGGCAAAUCCGGAUAAUCAAGGCUGAGGUGUGAUGACGAGGCACUACGGUGCUGAAGUAACAAAUGCCCUGCUUCCAGGAAAAGCCUCUAAGCAUCAGGUAACAUCAAAUCGUACCCCAAACCGACACAGGUGGUCAGGUAUAGAAUACC
RNAcentral lists this ribosomal RNA (409 nucleotides) under Acinetobacter baumannii. Its description in RNAcentral is "partial 23S ribosomal RNA". It matches the Rfam family "Bacterial large subunit ribosomal RNA", at positions 1271 to 1682 of the family's 2925-position model. Lineage: Bacteria; Pseudomonadati; Pseudomonadota; Gammaproteobacteria; Moraxellales; Moraxellaceae. The record is from RNAcentral.